GAGAAUGUUUAGCUUUAUUUUUGCGUUCAAUUUUAACAGAAAAAUUUACUAUCAGAGCAAAAUGGUUUAAAUCACAACUAAGCAUAUUGUAUCUGCUCUACCAAUAAUAAAAAUUACUUUGAAUAUGUCAAAUCAUAUUUUAGCAAAAAUAGUAAUUUUAAUAUAGUAUUUGGUAGAUAAAAAUGUCUGAAACUUCUACUUUAGUCGAAAACUAAAACAAAAUUUUAAGUCUCAAACAUG
RNAcentral lists this long non-coding RNA (240 nucleotides) under Ananas comosus (pineapple). RNAcentral describes it as "long non-coding RNA (ACOM_LNC021862)". Lineage: Eukaryota; Viridiplantae; Streptophyta; Magnoliopsida; Poales; Bromeliaceae. The record is from RNAcentral.